AUUGCCUCAGUAACGGCGAGUGAAGCGGCAACAGCUCAAAUUUGAAAUCUGGCCCUAGGCCCGAGUUGUAAUUUGCAGAGGAUGCUUUUGGCGAGGUGCCUUCCGAGUUCCCUGGAACGGGACGCCAUAGAGGGUGAGAGCCCCGUCUGGUCGGACACCGAGCCUCUGUAAAGCUCCUUCGACGAGUCGAGUAGUUUGGGAAUGCUGCUCUAAAUGGGAGGUAUAUGUCUUCUAAAGCUAAAUACCGGCCAGAGACCGAUAGCGCACAAGUAGAGUGAUCGAAAGAUGAAAAGCACUUUGAAAAGAGAGUUAAAUAGCACGUGAAAUUGUUGAAAGGGAAGCGUUUAUGACCAGACUUGGCCCGGUUGAUCAUCCAGCGUUCUCGCUGGUGCACUCUGCCGGUCCAGGCCAGCAUCAGUUCGUCGCGGGGGAUAAAGGUUUCGGGAAUGUGGCUCCUUCGGGAGUGUUAUAGCCCGUUGCGUAAUACCCUGCGGUGGACUGAGGUCCGCGCUUCUGCAAGGAUGCUGGCGUAAUGGUCAUCAACGACCCGUCUUGAAACACGGACCAAGGAGUCGUCUUCGUAUGCGAGUGUUCGGGUGUAAAACCCCUACGCGUAAUGAAAGUGAACGCAGGUGAGAGCUUCGGCGCAUCAUCGACCGAUCCUGAUGUUCUCGGAUGGAUUUGAGUAAGAGCAUACGGGGCCGGACCCGAAAGAAGGUGAACUAUGCCUGUAUAGGGUGAAGCCAGAGGAAACUCUGGUGGAGGCUCGCAGCGGUUCUGACGUGCAAAUCGAUCGUCAAAUAUGGGCAUGGGGGCGAAAGACUAAU
RNAcentral lists this ribosomal RNA (827 nucleotides) under Paramyrothecium parvum. RNAcentral's name for it is "eukaryotic LSU rRNA". It matches the Rfam family "Eukaryotic large subunit ribosomal RNA", at positions 74 to 935 of the family's 3401-position model. The record is from RNAcentral. Lineage: Eukaryota; Fungi; Ascomycota; Sordariomycetes; Hypocreales; Stachybotryaceae.